UAUAUUUUAGUAUAAUAUGUACAAAAAUUUUUGAAAUUUUAGGAAAUAGCUUAAUUCUAUUAGAUAUAA
This 69-nucleotide transfer RNA is filed under the name Pselaphinae sp. 12 EF-2015. RNAcentral describes it as "tRNA-Gln". The record is from RNAcentral. Lineage: Eukaryota; Metazoa; Arthropoda; Insecta; Coleoptera; Staphylinidae.